GACGGGGAUAGUCAAGCCCACCUCCUAGGGUCGCUAGGAGUUUUACGAGAGAUGAGAUGAAGGCCUUGGUGCGCAGGUCCAGCGCUCAGCAAUAGGGCGGGACGCGGACCCUGCCUUAGGGACCGUGGCGGAGGCUUCCAGGCUCACCUGGGCGGCGCACCGGUCCAGGUAGAGCUCCAGGUACGUCUCUUCCUCCUCCAUGGACAGAGGGCUCACUGUUCGGGUUGGGAAUCGGGGGAAAAGCCAGCGCGAAUCGAGCUGCGGCUGUCUCACGAGGCGCGCGGAGCUCAGAAGCCAUUUAACAGCCCGCGGCCGCACGUGGCGAGGCGGGGCCCGGGCUGGGGGCUGGGAGCCGAGGACCCGCGGCCGGUUGUGUGCCCUCGCCCCGGACCCGCCCAGUCCACGCUCCUGCGGGUGGCGCGAGGGGAUGGAUGCUGAGCCAGGGAGGGGGAUGCGGAGCUCAGCGCGCGGCCCACGGGUCGCGAGCAAGGGAAGGGGGGCUGGGGCUGGGGCUGGGGCUGCGGCUGGGGCUGGGGGCUAAGGCUGGCGCUGGAGGCUGGGGCUGGGGCGGGGAGACUCUCCUCGCCGGGUGCUAUCGCCGCACUCCGCCCACAGCUGAGAAGCAACUCGGCCUGCAAAUCUGGAGAUUUCCUUCGACCUGCAAAGGCUGGAGAAAAGAAGAGAGAAACACCAGGGAUGCCUGUGCACAGAGAAAAAGGCCAUGUGAGGACACAAUGAGAAGGUGGUCAUCUUCAACCCAAGGAGAAGGGCCUCAGGAGAAAAUAGACCUUCUGACACCUUGAUCUGGGACUUUCAGCCUCCAGAACUGGAGUCGGGCUGACAGAGCAGCCUCUGUCUGGAAUAUUGCUGGUCUAGUGGCAGAAGGAAAGAGAUCAUGGUGAACCAUGCACUGACUCUUCAGGCUUCUUCCUGUUGCCGCAUCCAGAGGCCUUGCCCCCGGCCCUUCACACCAGGGUUCCUGGUGCAAAAUGGCUGCACUGCUCAGUGGGCCAUGUGCAAAAGUGCCACAACUGACACUCAAUUCAGGAUGGUGGCACCCGGCACUUCCACUGUGAGCUGGAGCCUGAGCAAGGCGGCUACUCCUGGUCCCGCGAGAUCUCCACCCCCUCCCUGCUGAUGAGAUGCGUAUACUGCAGCCCCACUAGCGUGGGCUCUGGAGCAGGAGCUCCCACCUCUCCAUUCUUUGAUCAAAGAAAAAAGCUUGCCUUUGCUUCUGAACUCUGUCUUGGUCUACUGGCUCGAGUAACACCCGGCAGGAAGACCCUUGCUGGGGACCAACUCGAAAAGAAGCCAUCAUCUGUGAGACUUCAGUUUUUCGUUGUGAUGAUGGUGAGAGUGACAUUGUGAGAGCUCGCUACAUGCCCGGCACUGUACUAAGCACUCCGUGCCUCUCAUCUCCACCUCACAACAACUCUCUGAGAGGUAUUCUUACCUGCAUGCUACAGGUGAGGAGACCUGGAAAGUUCAAGAAACAGCCAAAGUCCACACAGCUACAAAGAGACAGAGCCAGGACUAAAAGCGAGGUCUUUUUUAAUCUGUUGCUUCCUUAGUUAUGCAUUUUGUUUUAAAAGGCAAAUGCGUUUACCUUAAUUAAUUCUCUGAUAGAUGAAAAGAAAAACAGGUAGGAUUUUAUUCGGUUGAAUGAUGUGAAAGGGCUGUUUUUGUAGAUCAAAACAGUAAAAUAUUGGCAAUUUCAUAGAAGUCAAUCUGAUAACUCACAAGUGAGCAACUGGUGCAUUUUCUUUUUCAUGUCCCGAGGAGGCUAACGGGCUAAUAUGCACAAAAUUAUGGAUCGCUGUUAAGUUUUGGCAUCAUCCUGAAAACAUAGGUGUCCCCUGAUAGCUCCAUUGGAACCCUGGCGCCACCCUCCUCUAUAUGCACUUUAUAGAAAAGAAAGUCUCCAGGGAGAACAGGGCUACUGCAUAGACCUCAUUCUUUGUGGGUCACAUAUGGACAGAGAAAGCACUCUCUAUACUGCCCUUUUAGGGCAGAUGGUGGGACCUGUCUGUGAUGGGAUGCUUCAGGUUUUUAGUUUCUCUCCUCUCCAAAUAGUAAAUCCUUGCAUUAUUUGGAGUAUUAAAGGUUGCCUCUGAACCUGUCUUCACUUCAUUAUCCUAUAGUGGCAAUUAUAAUGUUAAUACACUCUGUGUGUACACACAUACAUAGUUUAGUUAACGCUGAUUAAGGAAAACUCUUCUUAUCAAAGCAGUGCAUUUCUCUCUUCCUUUUUCUUUAUAUCAAAACAGCCUGAAAUAGGUCUUUACAAUAAUACAAUAGAAUAUUGAAGUUCUUAAAAAGUAAGGAAAUGCUGACACACGCUGCAACAUGGGUGAACCUGGAGGACAUCAUGCUAAGUGAUAUAAGCCAAUCACAAAACAAUAAAUAAUAUACAAUUUCACGUAUAUGAGGUAUCUAGAGCAGUCAAAAUCACAGAAAGCAGAAUGGUGGUUGCCAGAAGCUUGGGGGAAGGGGAAAAUAGGGAGUUAUUGUUGAAUGAGUAUAGAGUUUCAGCUUUGCAAGAUGAAAAAGUUUUGGAGAUUGAUUGUACAGCAAUAUGAAUAUACUUAACAAUACUGAACUGUCCACUUAAAAUGGUCAAGAUGGUAAAUUUUAUGUUAUGUGUAUUUUAUCACAAUUUAAAAAAAAGAGUGAAGUUUAAAAAAAGUCCAGUUUUCCCAAGAUUUCUUAUUAGUAUAUGGGAAGAUGUGUGAGUUGUCUAUGAAGAUUAUUUUAGAAUGCAAAAGUAAAGACAGCAGUUGAUUAUUCUUUUUAAAUUAGUCCUUUAAACUCUCUGAAUAGAAAAAGCUAGUUGACAAUUUUUCAUUUAAUGCCAGAUUUGUUACAUUUUACCUGUAAAUAUCUACAGACUUUGAAUACAGUAGUUGUAUGCUCUUCCCAAGACAAACAUGGAGCUUUAAAAAUAUAUUGACAACGGGUUCUCUCAUCAAUUUAAUGGUCUAAGGCAGAAUUUCAUACUGUUACAUUUUUUAAGAGCAUAGCAGCUCUGAAUACAAGACUUUUUAUCCUUUCCUCCAUGUCCAGAUAUCCUAAUGAGUAGUUUCAUGAAUAUCAGGACCAGAUUUAUAUCUUAUUUAAGCUUUAAAACUGCUAACUGAAAGUGCAACAAAGAUUUUUGCUUUUUUUUUUUCUAUUCUCUUGUUGAGGUGACAGGAAGUUACAUCUUUCUUCUUAAAAUGCAGGAGGAUCAAGAAUAUUUUAUAUAACUGUUUAGGGUAACACUUAAGUAUCAUUGCCAAUUCUGUGUGAAUGGAUUCUCAGUGAACAAAGGUGCAGGUGUAAAUGUUAGGAGCUUAAGAGAAGUCACAGGUAUUUUACAAGAAUAAGGUAAUUAUGAUGUGUCAGAAAUGACGAGGUCAGAAAGUAAAAUGCAAUGGGAAAAAAGAGCAGAAAGAUACUGUCUGGAAGCAACCUAAAUGUCCGUUGAGAGAGGAAUGGAUAAAGAAGAUGUGGUACGUAUAUACAAUGGAAUAUUACUCAGCCAUUAAAAAGAACAAAAUAAUGCUAUUUGCAGCAACAUGGAUGGACCUAGAGAUUAUCAUACUGAGUGAAGUAAGUCAGACAGAGAAAGACAAAUAUCAUAUGAUAACACUUAUAUGUGGAAUCUAAAAAAUGGUACAAAUGAACUUAUUUACAAAACAAGAAUAGAGUCACAGGGUAGAAAACAAAAUAUGGUUACCAGGAGGGCAAGGGGGGAGGGAUAAAUUGGGAGACUGGAGGGAUAGAUUGGGAGAUUGACAUAUAUACACUACUAUAUAUGAAAACUAAUAAGGACCUACUGUACAGCACAGGGAACUCUACUCAAUACUCUGUAAUGACCUAUAUGGGAAAAGAAUCUAAAACAGAGUGGAUAUGUGUAUAUGCAUAACUGAUUCACUUUGCUCUACACCUGAAACUAACAC
Molecule: long non-coding RNA, 3941 nt
Organism: Hippopotamus amphibius kiboko
Lineage: Eukaryota; Metazoa; Chordata; Mammalia; Artiodactyla; Hippopotamidae
Exons: 5
Source: RefSeq, a predicted model, not a curated record